This is a non-coding RNA of Cordylochernes scorpioides, 74 nucleotides long. The record is from the annotation of a GenBank genome assembly. Lineage: Eukaryota; Metazoa; Arthropoda; Arachnida; Pseudoscorpiones; Chernetidae.
ACCAUCGGUGGUUCAGUGGUAGAAUGCUCGCCUGCCACGCGGGCGGCCCGGGUUCGAUUCGGCUAGUUUUAGUA